Ictalurus punctatus (channel catfish) is the source of this 1154-nucleotide long non-coding RNA. Lineage: Eukaryota; Metazoa; Chordata; Actinopteri; Siluriformes; Ictaluridae. The record is from Ensembl.
GGACGCCAUUUUGAGAACCUUCUGGAUAGAAGCUAACUUAAUUUCAGUUCCACUGAGCUCGUUUGAGUGUCGAACUGGAAGAGUUCACUAGAGGACGCCGCGGCGGAAAUGUAGAUCAGUCCGUGACCUCUGACCGCCGGAAGUAAACAAAACCAUUCAACUAUGUCAGUAGCCGGUUCAAGUGGUGCUGGUACUAAAGCUGAGGCGAACUAUAACGAAGCCUCGGCUAUCGAGACAGCAGUCCGGACGGCGGUCAUGUCCAUCCUGAAGAUUUUCUGCGACGUAAACGAGAAGAAGUCGCACUGCUAUGAGGCGAAGUUAGCCGAGGCGGAAAGAGAAAACGCGGCGCUCAGGUUUCAGUUAAAAGCCGCCGAGCAGGAGCUUCAAACCUUACGACAGAUCUCUUCUAAUUACAAAAUCUCAGCGGAGGUGACUUUCAGUACUGAUGUCGAAGAAAGAGUUCAGGAACCGGCGUCUUUCCAAAAUGUCUCAUCAGAGAGCGACCGUGUCCUGGUGCUAAAGGAAGAGGAAGAGCCUUUCUACGAGAGCCAGUUGUUUAUAAAGAGUGAAAUGACAGAGGAAUAUUCUGCAGUGAACUUUGAAAACGCGCAAAUCCAGACAUACGGGACAAACAACAACAACAACGACGACGACGACAACAAUCAUCACUCAGUUAAUCAAGAUCCAGUUUUCACCGGAUUUGAGAGAAGGAGACUGACACGGUAUGAGAAUGUGAGGCGGUACAGAGAAAGGAUUCGGGCUGAUCCUGCGAAAUACCUGGCCUGGAAAGAGAAGAACCACUUGAGGUAUCUGCAAAACAGAAAGACCAUUAAUGAACUACCUGAACCCAUGAAAAAGCUGCAGAGGAAGGCUUGGAGAGAGGCGACAAGGCGACACCGUGCAAAAAAGAUGGCUCAAGCUGCUCUUUCUGCUACAUCCAUGUCACAAACACAAACCGUAUGACCAGGACAUAUUUCUUCCCUUUAGACUCUGUGCUCUCUGGGCAAAAAGUGCCCCUUUUGUAUAUGUAUAUACUGUAUAAAUAAAUUAAUAAUUGGGUAAUUGAGUUGAAUGAAAAUGUUUUCUUGGUUUCUUGUUGGUCCAGUUAACAUAGUUAUCGUUUAGAAAUUAAAUGACAAAUAAAAUAACAUGUC